Molecule: long non-coding RNA, 794 nt
Organism: Oxyura jamaicensis (ruddy duck)
Lineage: Eukaryota; Metazoa; Chordata; Aves; Anseriformes; Anatidae
Exons: 2
Source: RefSeq, a predicted model, not a curated record
UGGAGCUCCUCCUGGAGGUCCUCCAUGAUGGACCUCCACGGCUGACCCUCACCGCCCCCUCUCCCCAGGGCCAUGGAGCUGGGCCGCGAGUGCCUCAACCUCUGGGGGUAUGAGCGGGUGGAUGAGAUCAUCUGGGUGAAGACCAAUCAGCUGCAGCGCAUCAUCCGCACCGGCCGCACCGGCCACUGGCUGAACCACGGCAAGGAGCACUGCCUGGUAGGCGGCCCCAAAAAGCCCCGAAAUGGCCCCAAAAUGACCUAGGGGGGGAAAAAACGGACCCAAAGGACCCGGAAACGGGCACAAAAGACCCGAAAACGGGCACAAAAGACCCAAAAAUGGACAAAAAAGACCCGAAAACGGGCACAAAAGAACCCCCCAAAAAUGGCCUCUGAAGACCCGAAAAUGGACCCAAAAGACCCCAAACUGGACCCAAAAUACCCCAAAUUGGACCCCAAAAUUGACCCUAAAAUGGCCCCAAAAUACCCCCAAGAAAAAAAGGGGCUCUGAAGACCCCAAAACAGAUGCAAAAUACCCCAAAACGGACCCCAAAAUGGAACCGAAAUACGCCAAGAAAACAAAACAGCCCCUAAAGACCCGAAAAUGGCCCCCAAAUGGCCCCCAAAUACCCCAAAACAGACCCAAAAGACCCCCAAAUUGACCCAAAAGACCCCCAAGAAAAAAGAGGCCUCUGAAUACCCCCAAAUGGACCCAAAACUGACCCAAAAGACCCCCAAGAAAAAAAACGGCUCCUAAAGACCCCAAAAUGGACCCGAAAAUGGCCCCAAAAUGGACCC